UACGUGAACGGCGAGUGUUAUUCAGUUUUGUUAGGUGUAAAGUGAACGUAGACGGCCUUACAAGUUAAUGCGUAAAGCAGCCAAGAAAUUGGUUUAGCGUCAUUAAUACUGUAUCGCUAGGAUAAGGAAGGGGUUAACAGAACAGCUAAGGUAGUGGUGAAAUACGUUGAUCUUAGCUAGAAUGCCAAAGGUGAAGACAGUUAACCAUUUUUUAUCGACGUUGAUGUUCGAAAGCUAAAGUAUCGAAACGG
RNAcentral lists this ribosomal RNA (251 nucleotides) under uncultured bacterium. RNAcentral's name for it is "partial 16S ribosomal RNA". It matches the Rfam family "Bacterial small subunit ribosomal RNA", at positions 524 to 776 of the family's 1533-position model. The record is from RNAcentral.